UGGCUAUAUAUCAUCUUUCAUUGAAAAAGCUGAACAAUCAACGGUACAAUCCAAUAUUCAUUUCUGACUUUCACUGUAAAAGUCAGAAAAUCCAUUAUCUAACUACCGACUAUAUUUUGAUUUUCUCAAAGAAAACUGACAUCCCAAGUGUGAUCUUAGACCAAUAUCAAAUAUAAAGGCUUUCACUGCAAAAGCCAUAGAAUCGACUACAUCUCGGC
Molecule: long non-coding RNA, 218 nt
Filed under: Elaeis guineensis (African oil palm)
Lineage: Eukaryota; Viridiplantae; Streptophyta; Magnoliopsida; Arecales; Arecaceae
Description: long non-coding RNA (EGUI_LNC052016)
Source: RNAcentral